RNAcentral lists this ribosomal RNA (616 nucleotides) under uncultured archaeon. RNAcentral describes it as "bacterial SSU rRNA". It matches the Rfam family "Archaeal small subunit ribosomal RNA", at positions 44 to 667 of the family's 1478-position model. The record is from RNAcentral.
CUAAGCCAUGCGAGUCGUUGUAGCAAUACAAGGCAGACGGCUCAGUAACACGUAGCCAAUCUACCCUAUGGACGUGGAUAACCUCGGGAAACUGAGAAUAAUACACGAUAGAUCAUAAUGCCUGGAAUGGUUUAUGAUUAAAAUGAUUUAUCGCCGUAGGAUGGGACUGCGGCCUAUCAGCUUGUUGGUGAGGUAAUGGCCCACCAAGGCUAUAACAGGUACGGGCUCUGAGAGGAGAAGCCCGGAGAUGGGUACUGAGACACGGACCCAGGCCCUAUGGGGCGCAGCAGGCGAGAAACCUUAGCAAUGUGCGAAAGCACGACUAGGUUAAUCCGAGUGAUUUCUGUUGAAGAAAUCUUUUGUCAGUUCUAAAACUACCGAUGAAUAAGGGGUGGGCAAGUCUGGUGUCAGCCGCCGCGGUAAUACCAGCACCUCGAGUGGUCAGGAGGUUUAUUGGGCCUAAAGCAUCCGUAGCCGGCUUUGCAAGUCUCCGGUUAAAUCCAGCUGCCUAACAGAUGGGCUGCCGGAGAUACUACAAAGCUAGGGAGCGGGAGAGGUAGACGGUAUUCGGUGGGUAGGGGUAAAAUCCUCUGAUCCAUUGAGGACCACCAGUGGC